AACACAUGCAAGUCGAGCGGCAGCGCGGUAGCAAUACUGGCGGCGAGCGGCGGACGGGUGAGCAAUGCUUGGGAAUCUGCCUAUCAGUGGGGGACAACCCGGGGAAACUCGGGCUAAUACCGCAUACGUUCUUCGGAAGAAAGCAGGGGAUCGCAAGACCUUGCGCUGAUAGAUGAGCCCAAGUCGGAUUAGCUAGUUGGUGAGGUAAUGGCUCACCAAGGCGACGAUCCGUAGCUGGUCUGAGAGGACGACCAGCCACACCGGAACUGAGACACGGUCCGGACUCCUACGGGAGGCAGCAGUGGGGAAUAUUGGACAAUGGGCGAAAGCCUGAUCCAGCGACGCCGCGUGGGUGAAGAAGGCCUGCGGGUUGUAAAGCCCUUUCGUUGGGGAAGAACAGUGUCGACCUAACACGUCGGCACCUUGACGUUACCCAAAGAAGAAGCACCGGCUAACUCUGUGCCAGCAGCCGCGGUAAUACAGAGGGUGCGAGCGUUAAUCGGAAUUACUGGGCGUAAAGCGCACGUAGAUGGCUUCGUAAGUCGGAUGUGAAAUCCCCGGGCUUAACCUGGGAACUGCAUUCGAAACUGCGUUGCUCGAAUGUGGAAGAGGGAAGCGGAAUUCCAGGUGUAGCGGUGAAAUGCGUAGAUAUCUGGAGGAACAUCAGUGGCGAAAGCGGCUUCCUGGUCCAACAUUGACAUUCAGGUGCGAAAGCGUGGGGAGCAAACAGGAUUAGAUACCCUGGUAGUCCACGCCAUAAACGAUGCGAACUAGAUGUCGAGAGGGUCAGCCUCCCGGUGUCGCAGCUAACGCGGUAAGUUCGCCGCCUGGGGAGU
This 836-nucleotide ribosomal RNA is filed under the name uncultured bacterium. RNAcentral's name for it is "bacterial SSU rRNA". It matches the Rfam family "Bacterial small subunit ribosomal RNA", at positions 50 to 881 of the family's 1533-position model. The record is from RNAcentral.